RNAcentral lists this transfer RNA (65 nucleotides) under Heterocephalus glaber (naked mole-rat). It matches the Rfam family "tRNA". Rfam says of the family: Transfer RNA (tRNA) molecules are approximately 80 nucleotides in length. Their secondary structure includes four short double-helical elements and three loops (D, anti-codon, and T loops). Further hydrogen bonds mediate the characteristic L-shaped molecular structure. tRNAs have two regions of fundamental functional importance: the anti-codon, which is responsible for specific mRNA codon recognition, and the 3' end, to which the tRNAs corresponding amino acid is attached (by aminoacyl-tRNA synthetases). tRNAs cope with the degeneracy of the genetic code in two manners: having more than one tRNA (with a specific anti-codon) for a particular amino acid; and 'wobble' base-pairing, i.e. permitting non-standard base-pairing at the 3rd anti-codon position. Lineage: Eukaryota; Metazoa; Chordata; Mammalia; Rodentia; Bathyergidae. The record is from Rfam by way of RNAcentral.
GAUGUAGCUCAGUGGUAGAGCACUUGCCUAGCAUGUGCAAGCCCCUGGGUUCAAUCCCCAGCAUC